RNAcentral lists this ribosomal RNA (253 nucleotides) under uncultured bacterium. Its description in RNAcentral is "partial 16S ribosomal RNA". It matches the Rfam family "Bacterial small subunit ribosomal RNA", at positions 524 to 776 of the family's 1533-position model. The record is from RNAcentral.
UACGAAGGGGGCUAGCGUUGCUCGGAAUCACUGGGCGUAAAGGGUGCGUAGGCGGGUCUUUAAGUCAGGGGUGAAAUCCUGGAGCUCAACUCCAGAACUGCCUUUGAUACUGAAGAUCUUGAGUUCGGGAGAGGUGAGUGGAACUGCGAGCGUAGAGGUGAAAUUCGUAGAUAUUCGCAAGAACACCAGUGGCGAAGGCGGCUCACUGGCCCGGUACUGACGCUGAGGUGCGAAAGCGUGGGGAGCAAACAGG